This 466-nucleotide ribosomal RNA is filed under the name uncultured bacterium. Its description in RNAcentral is "bacterial SSU rRNA". It matches the Rfam family "Bacterial small subunit ribosomal RNA", at positions 329 to 793 of the family's 1533-position model. The record is from RNAcentral.
UCCCAGACUCCUACGGGAGGCAGCAGUGAGGAAUAUUGGUCAAUGGCCGGAAGGCUGAACCAGCCAAGCCGCGUGAGGGAGGAAGGCGCAGAGCGUCGCAGACCUCUUUUGCCGGGGGACAAAAGGCCGGACUCGUCCGGUCCUGAGGGUACCCGGAGAAAAAGCAUCGGCUAACUCCGUGCCAGCAGCCGCGGUAAUACGGAGGAUGCGAGCGUUAUCCGGAUUCAUUGGGUUUAAAGGGUGCGCAGGCGGGCCUGUAAGCCGGCGGUGAAAUCGCGGGGCUCAACCCCACCGAGCCGUCGGAACUGGGGGCCUUGAGUGCGGCGGAGGCAUGCGGAAUGCGCGGUGUAGCGGUGAAAUGCAUAGAUAUCACGCAGAACUCCGAUUGCGAAGGCAGCAUACCGGCGCCCAACUGACGCUGAAGCACGAAAGCGUGGGUAUCGAACAGGAUUAGAUACCCCCGUAA